Molecule: ribosomal RNA, 258 nt
Filed under: uncultured bacterium
Lineage: Bacteria
Description: partial 16S ribosomal RNA
Rfam family: Bacterial small subunit ribosomal RNA
Source: RNAcentral
UACGUAGGUGGCGAGCGUUGUCCGGAUUUAUUGGGCGUAAAGCGCGUGCAGGUGGUUGGUUAAGGCCGAUGAUAAAAUCUCCCGGCUCACCUGGGAGGGCGCGUUGGCGACUGGCCGACUGGAGGCAGGUAGAGGCCGGUGGAAUUCCCGGUGUAGUGGUGAAAUGGCGUAGAUAUCGGGAGGAACACCAGUGGCGAAAGCGGCCGGCUGGGCCUGUCCUGACGCGUGAGACGGCGAAAAGCGUGGGGAGCGAACGGA